AAAAAAAAAAAUCAGUGGUUGAGAUUGUUAAUUCAUUCAACCAAUGGUUUGUUCUGAGCUGAAAAUCCUGGUAAAUAAUAGUGGCAUGCCUGCUGUAGCAGUACUCGUAGACCGCUGAUGGCAGCCAGCUAUAAAUGCACACAUGAGUAUAAAAUAGGAAGUAGGGUGUGAUUUUCCUACGGUAGACAGGGGGACGUCUCUAAGAAGGUGACAAAUUGAGUAAAAGUCUAAGGGAGGUGAGGGAAGAAGCCACAUGGAUAUCUGCAGAAGUGGUCCUGGCCAGAGUGACAGCUGGUGUGAAGGCCCCGAGCCUUGCGUGUUCACCAGUGCGGAUGCCCACCUGGUGGACCCAGGUGAGUGAGAGGGUGGGGCCUCGCCUUGGGGCCACGGGAGCAGAGUAGGAACGCGUGUGGGGUCUAAGUGGGGAUGGGAGCCUGGAAGCCUAUCCGCUCUGGCCUGAGUCUAGGCAGUGAAGCGUGAGAAGCGCUGCAAUGGUGAGGACUUGAGAGGUUUGAGAUCUGGCCUGAUGCAGGGAACAGACCAAGAGGAGCUGCCCCAGGGAGCCCUUUACUGCAGAGGGACAGUUGUUAGGAGUAGGUUCUAUUUGUCUCUCCAGGCCAACGAGGGCGUGCCCAUCUCUAUGGGGGACAGCAUCUUCGUGGGAGGUAAGGGCUUGGGGCUGCUGCGGGUGGGCCAAGACCCUUCUCUCCAAACCUGCUGGCAGUGAAGGGUAUCCUCGUGCGUUCCAGAUGCAGCAGGCCGCCCAGCCAACUGGGCCCCUGGCCGUAAGAAGAAAGACUUUUCCUGCGCUGACCGAUUGGUGAGCAGGUGACCGAUUGGGGAUCGGUCACCAAUGGUGAGCCCCGCACCCCGCCCUCGAUCUCUGCCUCACCUCUGCCUUUGCCCCAGUUUGCGCUCAACCUUGGCCUGCCCUUCGCCACCCCGGAGGAGUUCUUCCUUAAGCAGCCCACAGCAGCCUUUGUCCUCCCAGCAUUUGACCCGGUGAGGCCCGAGGGGUGGAAGGCAGGGAACAAGCAGGGGAAUGAGGGUCUCAACUUCUUGUUCCACCCCUCCUAGAGGACUGUCUCCUGCUCAGGGCCUCUCUGCCUCCCAGAGUCCAGCUCCCUCCUGAGCUCUGACCCAGAGGUGGUUGUCGCCGUGGGAUUCCCUGGGGGUGAGAUAUCCUGAUCCCCAUCUCUGGGUGCUGUAAGUGUCCUUCUGGGUCCUGGGUAUCCACUGAUAGUGAUUUUGUGCCUCUCAGCUGGGAAGUCCACCUUCCUCAAGAAACAUCUCGUGUCAGCUGGGUACGUCCACGUGAACAGGGUAAGAGGCUGCCGCGCCCCAUCCCACUGGUUCAUUCCCUGGCUGCCCCAACCGGGCCUUCAGGGCUGCCGCCCAGCACCCCUGCCUCCCCCUGCAGUUCUGAUUUGUUGCCCUGCCCCCACCAGGACACCCCUUCAUCUUCUAUUCCCUAUUGGGCAAUUCCUGCUUGUGACCUGCUCUCCUCUGUCCCCAGGAUACAAUAGGCUCCUGGCAGCGCUGUGUGAGCACCUGUGAGGCAGCUCUGAAGCAGAGGAAACGCGUGGUGAUCGACAACACAAAUCCAGACAUCCCAACCAGGGCCAGGUACUUGGCCCCAUGGGAGGUCUCUAGUAGGGCUGGCAAGGGCCUGGUGACAGCGCUUUCCUGGCCUCAACAGGUAUGUCCAGUGUGCCAGGGAUGCAGGUGUUCCCUGCCGUUGUUUCCUCUUCACUGCCACAUUGGAGCAGGCUCGCCACAACAACCGGGUGAGCCCCUGCCCUCCCCCUCCCUCCUGCCCUGCCCUGCCCCUCCCUCCCCGAUGGCCUCACUCUGAACCAUCCCCUAACAGUUCCGGGAGAUGACUGGCUCCUCUCACACACCAGUGUCAGAUGUCGUCAUAUUCGGCUACAGGUACCUCUAGUUAGUAGGCUGUGGGCUGGUAGGGCCUGGCCUCUCCUUACCACCUUCUCUGCCACCAGGAAACAGUUCGAAGCUCCUACGGUGGCGGAAGGCUUCUCUGCAAUCCUGGAGAUCCCAUUCCAGCUGCAGCUAGAGCCGCAACUAGAGCGACUCUACCGGCAGUUCUCUGAGGGCUGAGUUGCCCAGCCCCAUGCUCCCCUCCCUGACCUGGCAAUAAAUGCUAUUUUUCUCCAAGCUUGGCCAGCAUUUUGCUGGGAGGAAGGGUGGUCGUCUUGGAGGUGCGUCACCAGGCCUAGGCCAACCCCACGCCCCCACACACACACGCGCGCGCGCGCACACUUUUCUACAUUUUCAGGUUAACAGAAAAGGAGGGACCUGGACUGGCUCAGGCUGCUCCUCUGCACAUCUCAUGUUCUACACCAAACCACUCCACCCACCUUGGGCUGUGGAAAGGUGUCACUAGGAGGUUGUCAUGAGCAGGUCAAACAAGAGACUGAGAUGAGACAUGGGAAUGUAGGACAUUGAAUGGGCCCCUAUAAGCUAGCCAGAGCUUGGCUCAAGAUGGCCCAUGAGGGCACAGUGAUUGCAAGCUUGCCUAAUCAUGUGUGAGGCCCUGCAUUCAACUCCCAGUACUGCAUGAGGACAAAAUAUCCAGGGCUCAGGUUCUAUUGCAUUGGACUUGAACGCAGGGGAUGUGGGUCUUGGACCUGCCUAUGGAUCCCCCCUCCAGCUACAGGAGGCAAAAACGCCCCUGACCUAUGCUUUCUUACAGGUAAGUCCAGGGGAAAGAAACCAUGAGCACUACCUGCAAGGUCCUGGCACCAGGUACUGGAAACAGAGAACCAACACACGGCUUCAUGCUUCUGACACAAAGGCCCCAGGAGGUGAGGCCACC
This 2836-nucleotide long non-coding RNA is filed under the name Marmota monax (woodchuck). The record is from RNAcentral. Lineage: Eukaryota; Metazoa; Chordata; Mammalia; Rodentia; Sciuridae.